This is a long non-coding RNA of Ziziphus jujuba (common jujube), 1013 nucleotides long. RefSeq lists it as uncharacterized. The record is from RefSeq and is a predicted model, not a curated record. Lineage: Eukaryota; Viridiplantae; Streptophyta; Magnoliopsida; Rosales; Rhamnaceae. The transcript has 2 exons.
UUAAUCUGGGAAAAAACCAAGGACAAAACUCAAUCGUUUUGGUACAGUUGGAGAAGAAGAAAGAACGUAAAAAAUCUUAUAAAUAUACCUUAACACAAAAUAAAACAAGAAACGAACUCUUACCUCUUUCUCGAUCAUUUCAGAUCUCUAUUUCUCUUUGCAGAUGGAAAAAAUAAGAAGAAACAAUUAUAAUCGACCCUUGUGAGCAAAAAACUCAUCAUAGAAAAGAAGAAACCCAUAAAGAUAAAGGUUUUUUUUAGCCCUAUGAUGCUCCAGGCCAACAAAUGGUUCUCAGUUCCAAGCAAUUGUUCAAGAAUUAACUGGUAAAAUUUUUUGAUUUUACAGUAUCAAUACCCAAUUCCCAAACUAUUUGAUAGUUCUUAUAAAACCUCUCAAUUUCCAAAUUUACAAAAUUCCGAAAUUAAUCCCAACUUCUAAAAUUCUGAUUUACAAUGUCUCCUCUUCUUCUUCUUCAUCGUUGUUCUCUAAUGGCAGCAAAACAGAAUAUUCUGCUUCUUCAGUAAAAUGGUUAUGAUUUUUGGAUAUGUUGUAAUACAUAUGUAAAAGAAAAUAAAGCAAAAAGAAUGACUUAAAAAGGACUUGGGAAGCCAAGAUAUGCAGGUUGCAAGUUGGCAUAACUGCUGAGAUUUCCAGCAGUUAUGGCCCAUGGGUUUGAGAUAAAUUGGAGACCUUACCCAAUUCUUUUGUACCUGAUCUUCUCCAAAUUUCAUCCUUAAUAUUUCAAUAUGCCACAUGUCAACAUUCAAGCAAUUUGGAUGAAGAUAUCCUAGCCUUCCAUCAGGUCAAAUUAGCAUUACCCGAUUUGGAGGAGACAGUAUUUUGAAGUUCAAAGUCCCACCAAUCUUUGCCAUAUUUGUACACUCACAUGUAAGCUGGUGAUUGAAAGGGUUAUGUAUUGGAAUUUGGAGUGGAAAAUGUGAAAUUUUUGAAUUCUAAAAUGCAACAAAUGAAUGAAAUGAAAUGAUAAAUUGUGCUGUCUAGUUUGUGUGGCC